This 424-nucleotide ribosomal RNA is filed under the name uncultured prokaryote. RNAcentral's name for it is "bacterial SSU rRNA". It matches the Rfam family "Bacterial small subunit ribosomal RNA", at positions 966 to 1389 of the family's 1533-position model. The record is from RNAcentral.
GAACCUUACCAAAUCUUGACAUCCUUUGAAAACUCUAGAGAUAGAGCCUUCCCCUUCGGGGGACAAAGUGUCAGGUGGUGCAUGGUUGUCAUCAGCUCGUGUCGUGAGAUGUUGGGUUAAGUCCCGCAACGAGCGCAACCCUUAAACUUAGUUGCCAGCAUUUAGUUGGGCACUCUAGGUUGACUGCCGGUGACAAACCGGAGGAAGGUGGGGAUGACGUCAAAUCAUCAUGCCCCUUAUGAUUUGGGCUACACACGUGCUACAAUGGACAAUACAAAGGGCAGCUAAACCGCGAGGUCAUGCAAAUCCCAUAAAGUUGUUCUCAGUUCGGAUUGUAGUCUGCAACUCGACUACAUGAAGCUGGAAUCGCUAGUAAUCGUAGAUCAGCAUGCUACGGUGAAUACGUUCCCGGGUCUUGUACACA